RNAcentral lists this ribosomal RNA (745 nucleotides) under uncultured bacterium. RNAcentral's name for it is "bacterial SSU rRNA". It matches the Rfam family "Bacterial small subunit ribosomal RNA", at positions 33 to 773 of the family's 1533-position model. The record is from RNAcentral.
ACGCUGGCGGCAGGCCUAACACAUGCAAGUCGAGCGGUAGAGAGAAGCUUGCUUCUCUUGAGAGCGGCGGACGGGUGAGUAAUGCCUAGGAAUCUGCCUGGUAGCGGGGGAUAACGUUCGGAAACGGACGCUAAUACCGCAUACGUCCUACGGGAGAAAGCAGGGGACCUUCGGGCCUUGCGCUAUCAGAUGAGCCUAGGUCGGAUUAGCUAGUUGGUGGGGUAAUGGCUCACCAAGGCGACGAUCCGUAACUGGUCUGAGAGGAUGAUCAGUCACACUGGAACUGAGACACGGUCCAGACUCCUACGGGAGGCAGCAGUGGGGAAUAUUGGACAAUGGGCGAAAGCCUGAUCCAGCCAUGCCGCGUGUGUGAAGAAGGUCUUCGGAUUGUAAAGCACUUUAAGUUGGGAGGAAGGGCAGUAAAUUAAUACUUUGCUGUUUUGACGUUACCGACAGAAUAAGCACCGGCUAACUCUGUGCCAGCAGCCGCGGUAAUACAGAGGGUGCAAGCGUUAAUCGGAAUUACUGGGCGUAAAGCGCGCGUAGGUGGUUAGUUAAGUUGGAUGUGAAAUCCCCGGGCUCAACCUGGGAACUGCAUUCAAAACUGACUGACUAGAGUAUGGUAGAGGGUGGUGGAAUUUCCUGUGUAGCGGUGAAAUGCGUAGAUAUAGGAAGGAACACCAGUGGCGAAGGCGACCACCUGGACUGAUACUGACACUGAGGUGCGAAAGCGUGGGGAGCAAAC